CAUGCAAGUCGAACGGUGAAGCCAAGCUUGCUUGGUGGAUCAGUGGCGAACGGGUGAGUAACACGUGAGCAACCUGCCCUGGACUCUGGGAUAAGCGCUGGAAACGGCGUCUAAUACUGGAUAUGAGCUCUCAUCGCAUGGUGGGGGUUGGAAAGAUUUUUCGGUCUGGGAUGGGCUCGCGGCCUAUCAGCUUGUUGGUGAGGUAAUGGCUCACCAAGGCGUCGACGGGUAGCCGGCCUGAGAGGGUGACCGGCCACACUGGGACUGAGACACGGCCCAGACUCCUACGGGAGGCAGCAGUGGGGAAUAUUGCACAAUGGGCGGAAGCCUGAUGCAGCAACGCCGCGUGAGGGAUGACGGCCUUCGGGUUGUAAACCUCUUUUAGCAGGGAAGAAGCGAGAGUGACGGUACCUGCAGAAAAAGCGCCGGCUAACUACGUGCCAGCAGCCGCGGUAAUACGUAGGGCGCAAGCGUUAUCCGGAAUUAUUGGGCGUAAAGAGCUCGUAGGCGGUUUGUCGCGUCUGCUGUGAAAUCCCGAGGCUCAACCUCGGGCCUGCAGUGGGUACGGGCAGACUAGAGUGCGGUAGGGGAGAUUGGAAUUCCUGGUGUAGCGGUGGAAUGCGCAGAUAUCAGGAGGAACACCGAUGGCGAAGGCAGAUCUCUGGGCCGUAACUGACGCUGAGGAGCGAAAGGGUGGGGAGCAAACAGGCUUAGAUACCCUGGUAGUCCACCCCGUAAACGUUGGGAACUAGUUGUGGGGACCAUUCCACGGUUUCCGUGACGCAGCUAACGCAUUAAGUUCCCCGCCUGGGGAGUACGGCCGCAAGGCUAAAACUCAAAGGAAUUGACGGGGACCCGCACAAGCGGCGGAGCAUGCGGAUUAAUUCGAUGCAACGCGAAGAACCUUACCAAGGCUUGACAUACACCAGAACACCGUAGAAAUACGGGACUCUUUGGACACUGGUGAACAGGUGGUGCAUGGUUGUCGUCAGCUCGUGUCGUGAGAUGUUGGGUUAAGUCCCGCAACGAGCGCAACCCUCGUUCUAUGUUGCCAGCACGUAAUGGUGGGAACUCAUGGGAUACUGCCGGGGUCAACUCGGAGGAAGGUGGGGAUGACGUCAAAUCAUCAUGCCCCUUAUGUCUUGGGCUUCACGCAUGCUACAAUGGCCGGUACAAAGGGCUGCAAUACCGUGAGGUGGAGCGAAUCCCAAAAAGCCGGUCCCAGUUCGGAUUGAGGUCUGCAACUCGACCUCAUGAAGUCGGAGUCGCUAGUAAUCGCAGAUCAGCAACGCUGCGGUGAAUACGUUCCCGGGUCUUGUACACACCGCCCGUCAAGUCAUGAAAGUCGGUAACACCUGAAGCCGGUGGCCCAACCCUUGUGGAGGGAGCCGUCGAA
RNAcentral lists this ribosomal RNA (1396 nucleotides) under Actinomycetes bacterium. RNAcentral's name for it is "bacterial SSU rRNA". It matches the Rfam family "Bacterial small subunit ribosomal RNA". The record is from RNAcentral. Lineage: Bacteria; Bacillati; Actinomycetota; Actinomycetes.